This 516-nucleotide ribosomal RNA is filed under the name uncultured bacterium. RNAcentral's name for it is "bacterial SSU rRNA". It matches the Rfam family "Bacterial small subunit ribosomal RNA", at positions 15 to 518 of the family's 1533-position model. The record is from RNAcentral.
GAUCGAUGGCUCAGGAUGAACGCUAGCUACAGGCUUAACACAUGCAAGUCGAGGGGCAUCAUGAAGUUUGCUUGCAAACUUGAUGGCGACCGGCGCACGGGUGAGUAACGCGUAUCCAACCUUCCCUAUAGUAGGGGAUAGCCCGGCGAAAGUCGGAUUAAUACCCUAUGUUGUUCACUGAGGACAUCUGAUAUGAACCAAAGGUUUACCGCUAUAGGAUGGGGGAUGCGUCUGAUUAGGUAGUAGGCGGGGUAACGGCCCACCUAGCCGACGAUCAGUAGGGGUUCUGAGAGGAAGGUCCCCCACAUUGGAACUGAGACACGGUCCAAACUCCUACGGGAGGCAGCAGUGAGGAAUAUUGGUCAAUGGACGAGAGUCUGAACCAGCCAAGUAGCCGUGCAGGAUGACGGCCCUAUGGGUUGUAAACUGCUUUUAUCGGGGGAUAAAGUGCACCACGUGUGGUGUUUUGUAGGUACCCGAUGAAUAAGGACCGGCUAAUUCCGUGCCAGCCGCUGC